RNAcentral lists this long non-coding RNA (10920 nucleotides) under Lynx pardinus (Iberian lynx). Lineage: Eukaryota; Metazoa; Chordata; Mammalia; Carnivora; Felidae. The record is from RNAcentral.
GAAGAACCUUGCUUCCUUUUUUCUUCUCUCUGUUGGCUAAGGAGUAAGUAUGUAUUAGCCAGGCUCACCAAUCAGGAGGUACAUCCAUUUUACAACUUUGACUCCAGAGGGAGAGAUGAAGGUAACUGAGGCAGGUAAAAACAUUCAUAGAGGCAGUGGGGUGGCAAGAGUACAGGUGCACUGUUAAUAGUGUUUUAAAUGGUCUAUUCCUUUAGAAUGUUUUGGCUACAUUUUUGACAUCCAGUUUCCCUUGAUUCCUGCUUAUUUCCUGAGGCUGGUUGUCCAGUAUUGCCAACUGCUGUAUGAUUUGCCCAAGAGUGUGAAAAUAAAUUCCGUUUAUGUAUCCGUCAGCUAGAAGUGAUUCUAUUGCUGCAACCAAAAACCCAUGUGGUUCACAUCACUUGUCUUGGAGAAGUAUACGGGAAUGAAUAUGAAAUGGCAUAUAUCAAAGCUAUUUAGUGAAAAUAAUUUGUCUUUGUUAAAGGUAUAUGUAUGUAAAUUGUUAUAAUUGGGUCUUAGAAUUUCUCAAUUGGCUAAAUUUUUUAAAUGACUCAAUUUUAGUUGCUAAUGAACAAGACAGUUCUUGGGAAAAUAGGUGCAUUAAAUGCAGCUUUUCUUGGAUCACUAUAAAAAAAGCUAAUAGGCUAUAUGCUUGAGGUCAAUUUUUUUAAAUGAUGAUUUGAUUUCAGUACCAAUAUACUCUAAAUCGCUGGCAUCUAGAGUCAUGCAUUCUUGGGCUGGAUUGUCUGGAUUUAAUAUCUGGAUCCACCAUUUACUGCCUCAUUAAUAUUACUGAGCUUCUGUUUGCUUAUUGACAAAAAGGGAAUUAUAGUCGUAAGUUCUUCAUAGGGUGGGUGGAAAGCUGAAGUAACAUUAUAUGUACAGAGUUUAGAAUGAGGCCUUCUUCAUAGUAAGUAUUAUAGAAGGGGCAGUUCUCCCACUCUUUCCCCUCCUCCUCUCCAUUGCUGUUGUUGUUGUUAUUUGCUAGCUAACUUGUACUAGUAUAUAACAUUGUCUUUAACUUCUUUUUUUAGAAUUAAAAUCGCAAGAACAUAUCUGGGCUUAUAAUCUGUAAGCCAUAUUGCUGUUUAAUUUGUUAUAUUUAUAACACUGUCUUUUUGGCCUUUAUGUGUGCUGUUUAAUAAAUUAUAUAUAUAAAAUGGUUACUAUCUAAAAAGUAGACUUACAUGCUAAAAAUUAGCCACAAUAUAUUUCUACAUUUCUUAUAGUUAAAUGCUUCUUUUCCAAUAUGCUUAGAAAUAUGGCUCAAGUAGUUAAUGUCUAUAAAUUAAGUAGAGAUAAGAUUUGUAUAAUCAAAUGAGAUAAAUCAAUUUUAUUUUAGAAGUAUUACACAUAGCAUUUUAAAUUUAAUAAAACUUGGAGAUGGGCUUUUAAGGAAUUUCAAUGUAUUCCUUUUUAAAAUACUGAAUGUCAGACUAACACUGUAAUAUGAUAUUGUUAAUGUAGAGGCCAUUUUGACUGAGUCUAUAUUAUACCAAACAAGAUGGGAUACUCUGUAUGGAAUAAACUAAGUAUUUUAUCCAGUGGCAAGAAAGAAAUUUGAAGGUCAGAAUUUACACUAUUUUCCACUUCCAGCUCUCCAGUAGCAUUUUAAAAACACACUCAACACAUUUUAUCUGCAAGGAAAUACCAAUCUAGAGAAGAAAAUAUUUUCAAUUCACAAUUCUUCUGACAGCUUCAAGGGCAAAGUAUUACAGAAGUGUUCUGAAAAUUUUAGGAGAUGUAACAAAGUGAAACAAGAGCUGUGCUUCAGAAUAAUGAACAAGAUAUUGUGGUUCAUAAACGUAUCCUAUACCUAAAUACCAAGGAGUGUCAUUCCUUAAGUAUACAGUCACUGUUGCCUGAAUAUAAAGUUUUCCUUUUUUUUCCCCCUGAUGGUAGUGAUGGGAUGGACUAUAUCAUACAAAUCAAAUUUAGUUUAAUUAUUUAGUUACUAACGUAUGCUGGAUAAUAGAAGGGCAGAGGGUAAUCAAAGAGUCUGUGCAUGUACAAAAAGUCAAAAAGGCUGCAACAUGGUUUGUGUCUCUGAUUUACUUUAUUAUUUUCACAUUUUCUUUCAGUGACUCUUUGAAAUUGAAUGUGCAGAAACAAGAUCUAGGGUCAGAUUCAGUUGACACAGAAGUGCCCUAACUCUUAUGGGUGUUAUUACAAGCAUUUCUCAAACAGCUCUGAAAUUUAAAUAUUAACUAAAGUAUUUCCAUCCACAUCAUAAUUCUAUAAGUUCUGUUUUGUAAAAACAGCUUCUAUUCACUUUACAGUAUCUGGUAGAUGGAUGUGGCAGAUAUCUGGGCAGUAAUAACCCAGACCUGAGUUCAAAUUGUAGCUUCCCUACUUUUUAGCUGAGUGAAUUUGAGCAUAUUUAACCUCUCUAAUUCAUAAGAAUGACUACUGAAAUAGUGUUGAAUUGUUCACAGGUAUAGAUGUAUAUAAAUGUCUAUAAGGCCAUAUAUGUAUUAGCUACACAAUAAUUUGUAACUUCUUUAACUAACAUCAUUAUUGUUGAUUCCAAUAGAACCCACUGGUAUUUUAUUCUUAUGUAUUUCUGGUGCUAGUUUGUCUUACUACAAAACAGAUGAAAUAGGUUUUAUUAGUAUAAAACUAUAAAAUUAUUUGAAGGAAGAAAAUUUCCUUGCCCAAAGAAGGAAUUUAUAGCAAACAUUAUAUUUAAUGGUGAUAGAGUGAAAACAUUCUCAAUAAUAUUUGGGAAAAGACAAAAUCCCAGAAGAAACAUUUGGUUUUUAACAUUUUUUUGAGAUUUCUGGUCAAUACAUUAAGUCACAGAAAUAAAUGGAAUAGAAAGAUGAGAAAGGAAAAGAGGUAAAAUUGCUAAUAUUUGUAAAUGAUAUUAUUUCUGGACAUUUAUCCAGGAGUCCAAGUUAAUUAUCUAACAAGGCUUAGAACUGAGUUUUACCAGUCUUUACAUAGCUUAUGUGAGUUUUAAGGUUGGCUAGAACAACAACUUGCUCCACAAUUCUGCUUGAUAUAAAUGAAUGAGCUGAUAAAGCUAUUUAGUUUCUUACAGAGGAAAUAUGUUCCAGAAAUGAUAGUUACAAAAUUAAGUUAAAAUAUUGCUUCAUCAUAAGGACAAACAUUGUAGACUACCUAGAAAUAAUCUUCAAGAGAAGAUUCAAGAUUUAUUUUUGUAAAGGAUACAAAUUUAUUCAAGGCAAAAUAAAGAAGAUUUGUGUAAAUAGACAGAUAUACUAUGUUCAUAGAAGAGAGGAUCUAAUGUUAUAGUAAUUAAUUAAUAUAUAAGUCAAAAUAAGUUCCUGACACAGUUCAAACAGGUUUUUGUGGAACAUGACAAGCUGAUCUUAAAUUCCUAUGGAAGAGAAAAGAAACAAUAGCCGAUACUCUCUUGAAGAACCAGGUAAUGGGAAUCAUCUUACCUAUAUCAAAAUGUUCUAAAGAUAUCAUUUUAAAACCUGUGUUGGUACAAGAAUAGGUAACUAGAUGAAUAAAAUAGAAGGUUCACAUACAGAACCAUGUAUAUGGAUUUAUGAUAAUUGUAGUAUUUCAUAUUAAUGGAGAAAAAGUGAAGCAUUCAAUACAUGAAAUUUGCAUUAUUGAUUCUACAUUAAGAAAAGAAACCAAUCCCUAUUUCAUACCACUUAUAAAAUAAUUUUCAACUGGAUCAUAAACCUAAGAAGGCAAGCUAUAAAAUACAGAAAGGACAGCAACAAGUGUAUUUAUGACUUUGGGUGUAAAAACGACCCUGUUUAAGAAAGGCAUAAAAAAAAAUCUCCAACAGGUGACUAUACUUAUUGUUGUGAACAGUGAAUACUGUGCAGAAUUAUAAAAUCACUACGUUUUCCACCUGAAACCAAUAUAGCAUUGUAUAUAUCAAGUACACUUCAACUUAAAAAAAUUCCCAAAAGAAACUAAUGAUAAUUCAGACCUGGUCAAAGUAAAAAACUUCUCUAUCAAAACAAAAACAAAAACAAAACAAACACAAAACCCUAAAUGAAGUUUAAAAACAGGUGACUGACUAGAAGAAAAUAUAUAUUAAAAUAAUUUCCAGAUUUUUUAAGUUAAUAAGGAAAAUAUUAAUACUCUGAUAGAAAAGGGGCAGAUAAUAUGACUGGGAAAGGAAAUAAAAUGCCCAAUAAACCUAUAAAAAUGUUCAAUCUUACUAAUAAUUAAUGGAAUCCAAAUUAUAGCAGGUGAGAUGCCAAUUUUUCUCAAAUAUCAGAGUACCAAAAAUUGAAGUUUGAUGACAUCAAGGUUUGGCAAACAAAUGGUAAAAUGGAUAUUCUGAGACAUUAAAGGUUGGCAUGUACAAACAAUAGAGUCAUAUGAAAGGCAAUUCAUCAUUAGAUCCUAACAGCAAAAGUAUACUCAUUCAUGACACAGUAAUUCCACUUUUCAGUAUCUACCUUUUAGAAAUAUCUUUCCACAAGAAGGAUGUUCAUUGCAGUAUUUUUUCCACAAGUAGAAUGUUCACAGCAAAAUGGGAAGAACUUAAAAGACAUCAAAAUGUGGGGUGGGGGCGAGAUUAAAUAAAAUUUGGCUUAUCCAUUCUAUGGAUUGCCAUCCACAAAUUAAGAAAAAUAAUGGGGGUACUUGGAUGGCUCAGUCAGUUAAGCAUCCGAGUCUUGGUUUUGGCUCAGGUCAUGAUCUCAUGGUUCACGGGAUUGAGCCCUGUGUAAAAAACAAGUUUCUUACAGAGGAAACAUAUUGUGGAGUCUGCUUGGCAUUCUCUACCUCCCUCUCUUUCUCUGUCCCUCCUUUGCUCUCUCUCUCUCACAAAUAAAUAGACAUUAAAAAAGGAAAAAGAAUGAAGAUCCUUACAUACCAACAUAGAUGACUAUCCAAAGCACAUAUUUUUUAAAAAAAUAAGUAAAAGAUACAUACAGGAUGAUGACAUACAAAACAAAACAAACAAACUCACAAAAUACUAUAUAUUUUCUUUGGAAAUAUAUGUACAUGUAUGUAUUUGUGUGCAUGUGUGCUCUAAAGGGACCUUAGAACUCUCUGAAAUAAUUUUUAUUAUUUCAGUAAUAAUCAUUAAUUAAUUAUCUCAAGUUCAAUUUAUUUUUAAAAAUAAUACAAAACAAUAAAAUUCUACCUUGAAGGAUAGUUGUGAAGAUCAAAUUAGCCACAGUACUUACAAUAGUCAUUGGUAUAUAUUAGUGGUUGUUCAAUUAAUGUCAAUGUCUUUCACUCAUAUACAAAUAAAUAGAUAAAAGUUCUUUAAAUUUCUAUUUCUUUCACACAGUUAUCAUUUAACAGUAAUUGAGAAAAUAGUGAUUAUAAUAGAAAACAUGGAUUUAGAAAUUAUCAUUCCUGUGUCUGCCAUUAUUUGAUUUGGAUUUCACUCUAUAUCCCUAGGUCUAAAAAUCUAAUGUAAUUUGAAGAACUAUUGUUAUUAAAAAUAACCACUGAUUGAGAGAGGAUAGUUUUGAGUGUGUAUGUAUAUAUAUUAUAACAUAUAUAUGAAUAUAUAUAUUUGAAUAUAUACUGAAAAUAUAUUUGAACUGUAACAUUAUAAACAAUACUGAAAACUAUCUUUUUUCUCUCAUAUAUAUGUAUCAUAUAUAUGUAUAUGUAUACUGAAUGUAUAUGUAUGUUUACUGAAUACAUAUAUUCAUAUAUGAAUACAUACAUACUGAAUACACAUAUAUACUGAAUAUAUAUACUGUAAAAUAUGCUGAAUAUACAUAUAUACGGAAUACAUGUAUACUGUAAAAUAUACUGAAUAUAUAUAUAUACAUAUAUAUAUAUAUACACACAAAUAUAUACUAUAAAAUUAAAACCAAUACUGAAACUAUCUUCUUGCUCUCAAUUACAUAUACGUAUUCCUAAGUAUUGGUAAUUAAAGAUGACUAAUCAAUAUCGUUUCAAGUUAUCAUCUGUGAUCCUUUGCUUAGUGCAGCAGCUCUCAAUCUGGAUAAUACAUAGAAUUACUUGGUCACUUUUCAGAAAAACACUAAUGCAACCACUCCUCCCCUACAGGAAAUGGUAGCUAUAAUAUAUUCCAGAAGAUUUUAUUAUGCAGCCAGUGGAGAGAAUCAUGGCUUUGUGGGAAAUCUGUGCAGGUUUUUAAUCAGAGUAUAUACUUGUUAAUGUAUUGUAAAAUCUUUCCUUAACCAGUGUUCUUUAAUUAUUUUUGUGGAUAAAGUCUCCAUUUGUUUUCAGUUGAUGAUCUUUGAGUCGCCAUUAAUAAUAAUGUCGUUCAAUUUCCAAAGGAAUUGGAAUUUAUAACUGAGGAUCCUUGAAUAAUAAUAUGUCAUCAUUUAAGAAAUAACUUUAAUUGAAAUUUUAAAAAUCAGAUAAGCUUUAAAAGUUGUUUGAUAAAUAUACUGCUCAAAAUAAAUAUAUUAUAAUUCAUGCACAGCACUAAAUCUGAUGUGAAAAAUUUCUCUCAGCAUAGAUACAUCACUAUUUCAGUAUUACAAAUUGAAAUUUCCAUCUUGAGGUGCGAAUGUUUUUUAUCAUUUGGCUUAUAAUUAUUUCAAUUAAAUCAAUGAAAUGUUUUUGCACAAAUGACUAUGAGGUAUUAUGUAUGUAUUAUAGCAAAUGAACUUUAAGGUAAUACUUAAAAUAACUGUAGUGGAAAUAUUAAGUUGGAAUAUUUUAAUGCUUUUUUAAGUAUCACAAUAUACUAUAACCACAAAGUGGCUAAUAUCAUUGCCAUUAUUCCUGAUUAAAACAUAAAGUUAGCUAUAGCUACAAAAAUAAUACUUAACAUUAAAAGGAGAUUUGUUCCUUUUGUUUUUAAAGGGUGGCCGCAAUAAAGGUGAGAUUACAAAAACAGAAUAGGAUCUUGGUUUUAAGAGAGAGAUUCAAUGUUGUUCUGUGAUAUUCAAAUACUUGUCUACGGGUAAAUAUAUCCCACAUAGGCAUAUGUAUGCUCAAAUACAAGCAGAAUAUGGAAAGCCCACAUACAAGGAAUGGUGAUCUCUGGCCAAUGGUUAGUGAGACCUACCAACAACCACACAAAUGCGUUUGGAAGGGCAUUCUCAGCUCAGACAAGCUUUGAGAUGCCUGUAGUCCUGGACAACAGUUUGACUGCAAUUUUGUGAGAGAACCUGAGCCAGAACCUCCCAGCAAUGUUGCUCCAAGAUUCCUGACCUAUAGAAACUGUGAGAUAAGAUAAAAAUGUUAUGGUUUUAGGCUGCUAAGUUUUGGGGUCAUUUGUUAUGCAUUUCUCAAUGACUAAUAUACCUAUUCUUAUUGCGGCUUCUGCUACCCUCCUAUAGAGUAGAGAAUAGGAUUCCACACUGGAGAUAUUAGAGAACAGAAGAGUUUGCCAGGUAAAGAAGGAAGAGGGAGGACAGGCUUUAUAUCUCCUAAUCUCUUUGAUUUACUUUAUGUUUAUGCUAAUGAAGUGAUGUCAGCUUUUACUAAACAUCCCUGAUCUGCUCUUGCUCAUAUUAUGCUUUUCCUCUGGGUUUCACUCUACCACACUCAUGUCUAUAUAUUUUUUUAUCCUUCCUUCUACUUUCAACUCAGAGAUUGAUUUGUUAUGUGAAUCAAUGAUUCAUUUUAUAAUUUUCUCCAGUUGAAGCAAUAUUAUUCUCAUUUGUACUACCAAAGAAAACUGCAGGGGUGCCUGGGUGGCUCAGUCGGUUAAGCAUCUGACUCUUGAUUUCCGUUCAGGUCAUGAUCUCAUGGUUCGUAGGAUCCAGCCUAACGUCAGGCUUUGCACUGACAGCACGGUGCCUACUUAGGGUUCUCUCUCCCCUCUAUGUCUCUGCCCCUUCCCUGUGCAUGCUUUCUCUCUCAAACAAAUAAGUGAACUUAAAAAAAAACCUGCACAUUUCCUCCUCACUUUUCAUUGUUGGCCUUGUUUGAUCAUGAUUGGGUACAGGUUUCUCAAUCAGAUUUUAAGCUCUGAGAGAAGCAUCUAUGAAUGAAUUGUUUGUUUUCUCAUUCCCAGUACUUGUAGGAUUGAACUGAAUUAAAAUAAGCUGUGGACAUUAAAGAAGUCAUAGGGUCACCCAUACUAAAAUUAUAGUCAUGUCCUUGUAUUUCUUUAUGUUCAAUAUAAUGUAGAGGAGUAACUCAGUUUUGGAAUCAGAAGGAGAUAAUAUCACUUGGAUUAACCAGAUUGUAAUUAGAUAGGCUCGGGUCUGUUUUUCUUUUCUUUACUUAAAAAAGAAUCCUGGGGUGCCUGUGUCGCUUAGUCAGUUGAGCAUCCAGCUCUUAGUUUGGGCUCCAGUCAUGAUCCCAGGGUCACGGGAUUGAGCCCCGUGUUGGGCUCUGCGCUAAUUGUGGGGCCUACUUAACAUUAAAAAUCCUGGGUCUGGGGCACCUGGGUGGUGCUCUCAGUUGGUUAAGCACCCAACUCUUCAUUUCAGCUCAGAUGAUGAUCUCACGGUUCCUGAGAUGGAGCCCCACGUCAGGCUUGUUGUUGACAUGGAGCCUGCUUGGGAUUUUAUUUCUCCCCCUUUCUCUGUCCCCCACCCCAUACUCUCACUCUUUCUCUCUCUCUCAAAAUAAAUAAAUAAAUAUUUUUUAAAAAUCCUGGGCCUAUUUUCCCAUAUAUAUAUAUGUAUAUGUAUGUAUAUAGAUAGAUAGAUAGAUAGAUAGAUAGAUAGAUAGAUAAAUGUAGAAUGUAGAUGUUUAUAGAAUGGGUCAACUCUUUUGAAUUAAUCAUGUCAGAAUCUUGCCUGGAAACUGCAUCAAGGCAGCCAGCCAAUUAGCAUGUAAUUCCUAGGCAAAACAAAAUUUAACACUCAUUCUUUUUCAAGUAGGUAUUGCAGGAUAAGAAAAUGCCACACUUCACAUGGUAUUCAUAUGCUGAAAUUGCUAGGUUUUGAGGCUAACAGAACUAUUUAUUCAGUAAAUGGAACUUAUGGACAAGUGCUUAUAAAUGGCCAAAAAGUUCAGGUUUGUAUCAAUUAAUUUCUCAGAAGAUUUUUUUCCCUUAAACAAAACAUCAUGAAUGCACAGCUGCAGAAUAUGUGAAAAACAGUUUAAUGGUAUACUCUUCAAUCAAUGAGGCAUUUACGAAAUGCACAUAGCAUUGUUUCAGCAAGUAGCCUGGAAAUAAACUCAGAAUUUGGACUAAUUCCAAUAGUCUCAGAGAUUAAAAAAAAAAUCAGCUAUACCUGUGGGAGUUUGUUUACAGACCCUCAAGUAAUAAAGGGCAAUAUGCCCUAUUCUGGGGAUUUGGGGGCUGCUAUGAGAGAUAAAGGCAGUGUUUUCAUAAUCCAGGCAAAAGCUCUUUUAGAUACAUCAAAAUUCACAUUUGGGGCAAAAUCAAUAAUGAUAAAUGAUAAUGUUCUUUUUUUUUUUUUGGUCUAAUAAACUGCACUGCAAAGAGAUACAUAGCAAGCUUAGAAAUACUAAUUGUUGAUGAAUAUUCAUUUCCUAGAAGAGCUUAUAUUAGUGGAAAUUAAAUUCAAAGCAUGCUUGUAAAUACCUUGAGCAUCUUUUUUUUUUUAAAAAAAGGUGGUAUAAAUUGUCACAUUGACAACAUUAUUAUUUUUUGUUGAUGUUGUUCCUCAAACUACCUCAGAUUUGCCACUUUAAAAAAGUAAAUCUUUAUAUUCCUUUCUGAGAAUGAAACAUAUCUAAAAUAAUUCAUACCAUCUUGCGCUGUAGCUGACUACCAAAGCAGUCUUUGUCUAGAGUGAGGCCAUGUUGUGGGGAGAGCAAUCUGAUAGGAGUGAAAAGUUCUAGUUCCAGCAAGACUGUUCUAGUCUGGAUUCUGGACAUGGCUCUUACUUUUGGGAGCUUUCAGACACUGAGUCUCACCCUGUCAUUCACUUAUUCCUCUGAGUUGCUCUUUGCAUAUGUCAGCAAUGACAUAAAUAUUUAUUAUGGGGUUACCAUGUGCCAGGCACUGUGCUUCAUGCUUCCAAAAAAAUUUGAAUAAGAUAGACAUAGUGGUGGUGCUUGUAGAGCAUAUAGCCUCAUGGGUGAGUGAGACAAUUCAAUAGACUCUGACUGUAAUUGCAAUAAAAUGACAGGAGAAUUAAAUGUUGCUCUGGGCACACAUAGCUACAGUGCUUUACACAAGGCCAGGUGAAAGAAAACCCAACAAAGAAGAAGUGCCAUUUAAGCUGUGAGCUGAGGGAUAAGAUAACAUGUGUAAAGCAAAAUGCACCCAUGGACCAUUAUUAUUUGACAAAUUGUCUCCAUUUAAUGAGCCAAAAAUGACGAUUGAAUUCACAGGUCUACUUUUUGGGUGACAUUAUUCAUAUCAGCAGUUGAAAAUGAUUAAAUCCAUUUCAUUUUAUGAGGAAACUUCAGUAUUUCUGGUGAAAGAGCAUGUUCUCAUUUAUAAAAGUACAUGGGGAGAACUUAAUGGCAUUCCUAUGUUCUAUAUGGUGGGUGAAUUUCUUUUGUUAAUCUAAGUUUACAUAAUAACAUUCUAUGAGAUACUUGAAAUUAUUCCAAAUUGGGCAAUUCUUACUUGAGAAAAACAUAAUUUAAUUGAAGCUUACUAUAUCUUCUUGUUUUUUUUAAUUAUAUUAAAUAUAUUAAUAUUUUUAUAUUAUAGGGUGUUGUAAUUUCCACCAAUAACUUCAUUGCAAAGCUAAUAAUUCUCCUACUCCCCUUCUCUUCUCCUCUCCCAUACGUAAUCAGUAGUCAGAAAUAAUAGUAGAGGGUUUCUGAAGUGAAAAUAAAAAUGUUGCAACCUCUUUCACUGUACUGGGAUGAAAUGAAGAUCUAAUACAUCAAUAACAAUUUAAAUUAAUAACAAAUAGGCAAAGAGAAAAAGAAAUUCAUUGUGAGGACCAUGGCCCUGGACACCUAUGUCUUCUGUGGGGAAAAGUGGAGAAGAGGGUCAGAGCCACAUCAGGAGAAAAAAAAAGUUUAAAUUAAGACUCCCUGAGAGACUUCAAUAAGGGUAUGAUUAGUUCAGCAUUGCUUUUAUUCUGCACUUCCCCCUCCCACUGUAGACUUCAGUUUUAAUAAUGAUUAAAGAAUAAUGCUUGAAUCCCA